RNAcentral lists this small RNA (120 nucleotides) under unclassified sequences. RNAcentral's name for it is "LOOT RNA". It matches the Rfam family "LOOT RNA". From Rfam's summary of the family: Latescibacteria, OD1/Parcubacteria, OP11, TM7. Lineage (Microgenomates, aka OP11) The record is from Rfam by way of RNAcentral.
GACCUAACCCUUAUAGUUUUCACUCUAAGGCAUGGUUAAAAAGACGAGUAAAGCAUAAAAAACCCUCACGGGAUUGCUUUACUCGCCAUAUCGAGAAAUCGGUAUGCUCGCGCAAGCGGG